ACCUGGGUGGCUCAGUCAGUUAAGUGUCUGACUCUUGAUCUUGGUUCAGAUCAUGAUCUCUCGGUUUGUGAGUUUGAGUCCCACCUCAGGUU
Molecule: transfer RNA, 92 nt
Filed under: Felis catus (domestic cat)
Lineage: Eukaryota; Metazoa; Chordata; Mammalia; Carnivora; Felidae
Rfam family: tRNA
About the family: Transfer RNA (tRNA) molecules are approximately 80 nucleotides in length. Their secondary structure includes four short double-helical elements and three loops (D, anti-codon, and T loops).
Source: Rfam by way of RNAcentral